RNAcentral lists this ribosomal RNA (393 nucleotides) under uncultured bacterium. RNAcentral's name for it is "partial 16S ribosomal RNA". It matches the Rfam family "Bacterial small subunit ribosomal RNA", at positions 523 to 918 of the family's 1533-position model. The record is from RNAcentral.
AUACGGAGGAUGCGAGCGUUAUCCGGAUUUAUUGGGUUUAAAGGGAGCGUAGGUGGGAUAUUAAGUCAGCUGUGAAAGUUUGGGGCUCAACCUUAAAAUUGCAGUUGAUACUGGUUUCCUUGAGUACGGUACAGGUGGGCGGAAUUCGUGGUGUAGCGGUGAAAUGCUUAGAUAUCACGAAGAACUCCGAUCGCGAAGGCAGCUCAACGGGUCGGCACUGACACUGAUGCUCGAAAGUGCGGGUAUCAAACAGGAUUAGAUACCCUGGUAGUCCGCACAGUAAACGAUGAAUACUCGCUGUUUGCGAUACACGGUAAGCGGCCAAGCGAAAGCGUUAAGUAUUCCACCUGGGGAGUACGCCGGCAACGGUGAAACUCAAAGGAAUUGUCGGGG